Molecule: ribosomal RNA, 468 nt
Filed under: uncultured bacterium
Lineage: Bacteria
Description: partial 16S ribosomal RNA
Rfam family: Bacterial small subunit ribosomal RNA
Source: RNAcentral
GACGAACGCUGGCGGCGUGCUUAACACAUGCAAGUCGAACGGAAAGGCCCUGCUUUUGUGGGGUGCUCGAGUGGCGAACGGGUGAGUAACACGUGAGUAACCUGCCCUUGACUUUGGGAUAACUUCAGGAAACUGGGGCUAAUACCGGAUAGGAGCUCCUGCUGCAUGGUGGGGGUUGGAAAGUUUCGGCGGUUGGGGAUGGACUCGCGGCUUAUCAGCUUGUUGGUGGGGUAGUGGCUUACCAAGGCUUUGACGGGUAGCCGGCCUGAGAGGGUGACCGGCCACGCUGGGCCUGGGAUACGGCCCAGCCUCCUACGGGAGGCAGCAGUGGGGAAUAUUGCACUGUGGGCGGGGGCCUGAUGCAGCGCCGCCGCGUGCGGGAUGACGGCAUUCGGGUUGUAAACCGCUUUCGUCUGUGACGAAGCGUGAGUGACGGUACUGGGUAAAGAAGCACCGGCUAACUACGUG